ACAGAGGGCUUUGGAGGGUCGUGUGGUGGUGUAGAUAGGUGGUUCUAGUUUAGGUGGUGAAAACUAGGUUUCGGAUAGGUUAGCGUCUUGCUAGUUUCUGGUUGGUGGUGAUGAUAGCAGUGGGUGUCUAGGGAUUUUUCGGUUUAGUGGCAGUGGGUUUGAUGGCUAAAGGUGGCAGUGGUGCUGGUAGCGGUAGUAGGCAAAGUGGUGUUGUAGGUAAAUGUGAAGAUGGCAGAGAGGUUGAGUAGGUGG
RNAcentral lists this long non-coding RNA (252 nucleotides) under Durio zibethinus. RNAcentral's name for it is "long non-coding RNA (DZIB_LNC002004)". The record is from RNAcentral. Lineage: Eukaryota; Viridiplantae; Streptophyta; Magnoliopsida; Malvales; Malvaceae.